Molecule: ribosomal RNA, 259 nt
Filed under: uncultured archaeon
Lineage: Archaea
Description: partial 16S ribosomal RNA
Rfam family: Archaeal small subunit ribosomal RNA
Source: RNAcentral
CAGCCGUAAACAAUGUGCGUUAGGUGUGUCGGUAACCACGUGUUACUGAUGCGCCGAAGAGAAAUCGUGAAACGCACCACCUGGGAAGUACGGUCGCAAGGCUGAAACUUAAAGGAUUGGCGGGGGAGCACCACAACAGGUGGAGCCUGCGGUUUAAUUGGAUUCAACGCCGGACAUCUCACCGGAUAAGACAGCUGAAUGAUUGUCAAUCUGAAGGUUUUACAUGACUAGCUGAGAGGAGUGCAUGGCGUCAGUGACU